UUCGCCAUUUAAAGUGGUACGCGAGCUGGGUUUAGAACGUCGUGAGACAGUUCGGUCCCUAUCUGCCGUGGGCGCUGGAGAACUGAGGGGGGCUGCUCCUAGUACGAGAGGACCGGAGUGGACGCAUCACUGGUGUUCGGGUUGUCAUGCCAAUGGCACUGCCCGGUAGCUAAAUGCGGAAGAGAUAAGUGCUGAAAGCAUCUAAGCACGAAACUUGCCCCGAGAUGAGUUCUCCCUGACUCCUUGAGAGUCCUGAAGGAACGUUGAAGACGACGACGUUGAUAGGCCGGGUGUGUAAGCGCAGCGAUGCGUUGAGCUAACCGGUACUAAUGAACCGUGAGGCUUAACCUU
Molecule: ribosomal RNA, 351 nt
Filed under: Escherichia coli
Lineage: Bacteria; Pseudomonadati; Pseudomonadota; Gammaproteobacteria; Enterobacterales; Enterobacteriaceae
Description: partial 23S ribosomal RNA
Rfam family: Bacterial large subunit ribosomal RNA
Source: RNAcentral